Molecule: microRNA precursor, 129 nt
Filed under: Ananas comosus (pineapple)
Lineage: Eukaryota; Viridiplantae; Streptophyta; Magnoliopsida; Poales; Bromeliaceae
Description: mir-172 microRNA precursor family
Rfam family: mir-172 microRNA precursor family
About the family: mir-172 has been experimentally verified in Arabidopsis thaliana. This family is thought to target mRNAs coding for APETALA2-like transcription factors. The mature sequence is excised from the 3' arm of the hairpin.
Source: Rfam by way of RNAcentral
GUGUUCGCUGGUGUGGCAUCAUCAAGAUUCACAUAAAUCUUCGGGCGGCUUAAUUAUUAUUAUUAUUUUUCCUCUUGCUGCUUUAUAGAUUAUAGAUGAGAAUCUUGAUGAUGCUGCAUCGGCAAACAC